UUGCAGUUAAAAAGCUCGUAGUCGGAUUUCAGUGUUCAGUAAGCUGUCAUUUUGUUUCAGUCUUACUUACACUUCUUUGUUGACAAUUUUCAUCGCCUUUAUUGGUGGUGUUUAUUUCGUUGACUCUUUUACUUUGAGAAAAUUAGAGUGUUCAAAGCAGGUCUUCACGCCUGAAUAUUACUCUUGGAAUAAUAACAUAUGACUUUGGUUCUUAUUUGUUGGUGAUUAGGGACCGAAGUAAUGAUUGCCAGGGACGGUUGGGGCCAUUCGUACUGCAAAGCGAGAGGUGAAAUUCUUGGACCUUUGUAUGACGAACUACUGCGAAAGCAUUUGGCUAGGACGUUCCCGUUGAUCAAGAACGAAAGUUGGGAGAUCGAAGACGAUCAGAUACCGUCGUAGUCUCAACCAUAAACUAUGCCAGCUAGGGAUGGGUGGAUGUUUUUCUAACGACUCCAUCCGCACCUUAAGAGAAAUCAAAGCAUUUGGGUUCCGGGGGGAGUAUGGUC
RNAcentral lists this ribosomal RNA (506 nucleotides) under uncultured marine eukaryote. RNAcentral's name for it is "bacterial SSU rRNA". It matches the Rfam family "Eukaryotic small subunit ribosomal RNA", at positions 613 to 1130 of the family's 1831-position model. The record is from RNAcentral.